RNAcentral lists this ribosomal RNA (500 nucleotides) under uncultured bacterium. Its description in RNAcentral is "partial 16S ribosomal RNA". It matches the Rfam family "Bacterial small subunit ribosomal RNA", at positions 30 to 523 of the family's 1533-position model. The record is from RNAcentral.
AUUGAACGCUGGCGGCAGGCCUAACACAUGCAAGUCGAGCGGAUGAAGAGAGCUUGCUCUCUGAUUCAGCGGCGGACGGGUGAGUAAUGCCUAGGAAUCUGCCUGGUAGCGGGGGACAACGUUUCGAAAGGAACGCUAAUACCGCAUACGUCCUACGGGAGAAAGUGGGGGAUCUUCGGACCUCACGCUAUCAGAUGAGCCUAGGUACGAUUAGCUAGUUGGUGAGGUAAAGGCUCACCAAGGCGACGAUCGUUAACUGGUCUGAGAGGAUGAUCAGUCACACUGGAACUGAGACACGGUCCAGACUCCUACGGGAGGCAGCAGUGGGGAAUAUUGGACAAUGGGCGAAAGCCUGAUCCAGCCAUGCCGCGUGUGUGAAGAAGGUCUUCGGAUUGUAAAGCACUUUAAGUUGGGAGGAAGGGCAGUAAGUUAAUACCUUGCUGUUUUGACGUUACCGACAGAAUAAGCACCGGCUAACUUCGUGCCAGCAGCCGCCGCGG